CGUACAUCCAAAUGCCCAGAAGGCAAUUUCAUUGCCUACGGAUGCAGUGACACGACUGAGGUCACCUGAAGUCUGCGUCAGAGAAAGGAACUGAGCCCAUGGCUCACGCAGCAGGGACCAAACGUCACAGCGUGGGGCUGGAUGCACUUCAUGGAAAUGGAUUUCAUGGUUGAAAAAGGGCCCAGUGUAAAUCCUCCAGUACUGAGAUCAGCAGGGCAUCUUUUGUGUCCUCCCUUCCCAGGGCACCUGUGCAGCUUACUGGGAGAAGCACAGCUGGAAUUUCUUCAUUUGCCUUUGGAUUCCCAUUCACAUGCUGGCCAUACAAAACUCUCUUUUCUUUUUACUGUUCCCAGAAAUAACAUUUUCCAAUGAUUUUUUAAUUUUUGUUUCCAUUUCCAGAGCAGGUCAGAAUGUCGUGAAGAGCUGUGACAUACCCAAAGGCCACUUUGUGCUCACGCUAUGGGCUGUGCUUAGUUGGGGAUGCACCAGCAUGAGGGCAAACUCCGCGUUGCAGGAAGCAUUUAGAAGUGCAGAACUCACAACCAUUGGUGCCAAGUGAAUGGAGGACACAUCUGAGAACUCAACGUUUUUUAGACUAAUUCCAGCAGAAAAUAACAAGAUUUCUGCCCAUGCCAGAGAUGGUUUUCAGAUGCUGUUGGUGCUAUGCCCAAUGCAGCUGAUUCACCUACUGUGGCAUUGCUGUGUUCCUGGCCCACUGCAGCCAAGCAGACCCCUGGAGCUGUGCCAGAAAGUAGGAGGUGCCUAACGGAUGACAGCUCCCAAGACAUGGCUGGGAAGCAGCAGAUGGGCACUUGGGGCUCAUGGACUUCAGCAGGGAGAGAGCAGUGGGACAGCAGAGCAGACCCCUCCAUUACCACAGCACUGGGUGCUGGACAAGGCACGUUGCCGCGGAGUAUUGAUUGCCAGAGGAACAAAAGCAAAGCAUGGGUAAAGUGCAAUAAUCAUGUGAGAGGAGAGAAACUACAGAAGUACACCACAGGUUCACUUAACUCCUGCUUGGUCGAUAAGCUGCUUAUUGAAACGCAUUAUUCUUCUGUUCCUGAUUCCCAGAAGUGUCUGAGCUGCCUGGAAGACCAUAACAGAACAGGCUGCCUCCUAGGUCUGCCAUUGAUUUUAAUGGAAAG
RNAcentral lists this long non-coding RNA (1145 nucleotides) under Phasianus colchicus (ring-necked pheasant). Its description in RNAcentral is "lncRNA (ENSPCLG00000004396.1)". The record is from RNAcentral. Lineage: Eukaryota; Metazoa; Chordata; Aves; Galliformes; Phasianidae.